UCAAUGGGAGCAAAAAAAAAAAAAAAAAGAAAGAAAAGAAAGAAAAAAAAAGAAUUCAUUGAAUCAUAGUGCAAGUACUAGCUGUGAGUGUUAAAUCUCAAGAUCAGCUGUCUACUCAAAAACUAGAACCAAAAGGCUUUACAAGGGCUGAAUAUCCAUGCUAAUGCAUUUCAUCAACACAACCAGGAAUUAGUUAUAAAUAUUAAUGCCUUCAUUUAAGAAGGAAUAGGAAAACCCAUCGAGAAAAAGGAAAUCAGAGCGUUUUGUGAAGCUUUGCAAAAUAAAAAUAUAAAAAAUAAUCAUCAGGCCUGUGAACUCAGAAUAAAUGCUCAUCUUCUAGAUCCUUUUGUACUGCAUAGUACUUCUCACAGCAGUAAAUGUUGGCAGGAAGAACAUUUAUUCACAGUGAAUAUACUUAGAACUUUUUUGUAGAGCUCAGAUUUUUAGGACAAAUGAACAGAAACAAGAACAACAACCAAGGCCUAAAGAGGGAUUGAAAAAAAUGGAAGAAUUUUUGAGUUUCCUUAAUGCCUAUGUGCAGUGGACUGAAUGUUUGUGUCCUCCCCAAUUCUGUGUUGGAUUCCUAACUUCCAAGGUGAUAACAUGAGGAGGUGUGAUGUGGGUAAGUAAUGAGGUCAUGAGGCUGGCUGUUCACAAGAGGGAUUAGUGACUUUAUAAAAGAGACCCGAGAGAGCUCUCUUGCCCUUUUCUACUGUGUAAGGACAUAUGUGAAGUCAGCCAUCUGCCAGCUGGGAGAAGUCCUUUAUCAGAAUUGACCAUGCUGUCCCCCUGAUCUCAGACUUCCUGCCUCCAGAACUAUUAGACACAUUUUUGUUGUUUGUAAGUCACUGGGUCUAUGGUAUUUUGUAAUAACAGCCCAAACUGACUGAUAGUGUGGCUGAAAUUUAUGUGAUGUUUCAGUGAACAUCAGACACACUGAUAUUCUCUGAACUCUUGUGCUCAUGACCUGUUUGCUGGGGCCAGGGUUGGACAAACGACCAUCCUUCUUACCUCCCCAGAUGGACUGACUUCUCUCUUCUUUCUUGUGCCUUGGCACGUUGUACAUAGAGCUAAAGUUGUAUUUACACAUUCACCUCUCUCAGGGAGCAGGAAUAUAUGAUGUUAAACGGCUGAAUCUUGUAUCAAUUCCCACAAUGUCCCCCUUAUCCCUAGUUAUCUAACUCAUUACUGUUAAGGCACUUUUAAAUCUCUUGAUAUCUUUGGUCAUUUUUUGUUUUGUUUUGGGGUUGGGGAGGAAGAAAUGAGAAUGGUUAACUCACAUUUAGUUCAGGGGACUAUUUUCAAUUCAUAUGGUUAAAGAAGUGAGUUUCAAAAAACUGACUAUUCAUGAGUUUUAGAGAUGGUUAUGAUUUAUGUAUGAGGUGUCCCCCAAAAGCUCAUGUGUGAGACAAUGUAAGAAUGUUCUGAGGUGAAAUGAGUGGGCUAUAUAACUAGUGGAUUAAUCCAUCGAUGUGAAUUAACUGGGUGGUAACUGUAGGCAGCUAGGGUAUGGCUGGAGGAAGGAGGCCAUGGGAUAUGAUUAAUAUUUUGUCCUUGGUCAAUGGAACUCUCUUUCUCUCUGCUUCCUGGUUGCUGUGUCCUGAGCUGCUUUCCUCUGCUGUGCCCUCUGCCAUGAUGUUCUGCUUCACCUUGAGCUUGAAGAUAUGGAGUCAGCUGACUAUGGACUGAACCUAUUAAACUGUGAGCCAAAAUAAAUCUUUCCUCCUUUCAAAAGUUGUUCUUG
Molecule: long non-coding RNA, 1744 nt
Filed under: Marmota monax (woodchuck)
Lineage: Eukaryota; Metazoa; Chordata; Mammalia; Rodentia; Sciuridae
Source: RNAcentral